UCGGGAAUUUUGGGCAAUGGGCGAGAGCCUGACCCAGCAACGCCGCGUGAGGGAUGAAGUAUUUCGGUAUGUAAACCUCGAGAGAAUGGGAAGAAUAAAUGACGGUACCAUUUAUAAGCUCCGGCUAACUACGUGCCAGCAGCCGCGGUAAUACGUGGGGAGCAAGCGUUGUUCGGAUUUACUGGGCGUAAAGGGCGCGUAGGCGGCGCGGUAAGUCACUUGUGAAAUCUCUGAGCUUAACUCAGAACGGCCAAGUGAUACUGCUGUGCUAGAGUGCGGAAGAGGCAACCGGAAUUCUUGGUGUAGCGGUGAAAUGCGUAGAUAUCAAGAGGAACACCUGAGGCGAAGGCGGGUUGCUGGGCCGACACUGACGCUGAUGCGCGAAAGCCAGGGGAGCAAACG
RNAcentral lists this ribosomal RNA (402 nucleotides) under uncultured bacterium. RNAcentral's name for it is "bacterial SSU rRNA". It matches the Rfam family "Bacterial small subunit ribosomal RNA", at positions 355 to 774 of the family's 1533-position model. The record is from RNAcentral.